RNAcentral lists this transfer RNA (88 nucleotides) under Acropora cervicornis. RNAcentral describes it as "tRNA-OTHER". The record is from RNAcentral. Lineage: Eukaryota; Metazoa; Cnidaria; Anthozoa; Scleractinia; Acroporidae.
AACUCCGUCAACUCAGUUGGUUAGAGCGUCGCAACGGUAUCGUGAGGUCACGGGUUCAAGGUCACGGGUUCAAACCCCGUUGAAGUCC